This 668-nucleotide ribosomal RNA is filed under the name Glomeromycotina sp. Its description in RNAcentral is "eukaryotic LSU rRNA". It matches the Rfam family "Eukaryotic large subunit ribosomal RNA", at positions 75 to 627 of the family's 3401-position model. The record is from RNAcentral. Lineage: Eukaryota; Fungi; Glomeromycota.
AUCCCUAGUACGGCGAGUGGAAGCGGGAAGAGCACAAAUUUUAAAUCUACCUGGUUCUACCAGGUCGAGUUUGUAAUUUGAAGAAACGUUUUUAAUGUUCCGGGUUGGUUUAAAUCCUUUGGGAUAAGGUAUCAUGGAGGGUGAGAAUCCCGUGUAUAUCAACCGCUGGGAUGUUAUUAAUACGUUCUCUAAGAGUCGAGUUGUUUGGGAAUGCAGCUCUAAAUGGGUGGUAAAUUUCACCUAAUGCUAAAUAUAAGCGAGAGACCGAUAGCGAACAAGUACCGUGAGGGAAAGAUGAAAAGAACUUUGAAAAGAGAGUUAAAUAGUACGUGAAAUUGUUGAAAGGGAAACGAUUGAAGUCAGUCAUGCCGGUGAGAAUCAACUUUGGGGAAGGGGGAUUUUUUUGAACCUAACCUUGAAGUGCACUUCUUCGCUUGGCAGGUUAGCGUCGAUUUUGAACGUCAUAAAAUGAUUGGGGGAAGGUAGCUCUUUCAGGAGUGUUAUAGCCCUUAAUUAAUGUGAUAUUUGGGAUCGAGGAUUGCAACGGAUACCUUUUAGGGCUAGCCGCCUGGCCUCUGAUUCGAUGUUGGGUUAUAGACAGCACGCUGACCUAUGAUCUGAUUAUUGGUCAAAAGGUUAGAUGCGAGCAUAAAUUCCGUAAGGACGCG